GUGGAGGCCCUCCCGGUAGCGUGCCCAGACCCGCCAUAUCUCUACACAUAUAAGGCGUCUACAGUAAAAGCGGAAGUAAAAGCAAGAAUUACAACAACUAGGAAUGAAUAACAUCUAAUGAUAUCAGAGCGAGUAAAGUUCUAUCUUCUAAAACAAGAAUAAAGGAAACAUACUAAUCCAUAAUAGUAAAGCACAAGGUGAUACAAUACUAACUCCUCAAAAGAAAUACAUAAAUCCAAAAGAAGGGUGGUCUCUAUACAUAUACGGGUACAACUCUCAACCUCUCACAAAAUAAAACAACGAGAGGUAGACCACCUAUCGAAUCGUCCUCGAAGGAAGCUAGCUCGUAGCAACUCCCUUUCCCGCGGUCCCUAGCCACUC
Molecule: long non-coding RNA, 381 nt
Filed under: Ananas comosus (pineapple)
Lineage: Eukaryota; Viridiplantae; Streptophyta; Magnoliopsida; Poales; Bromeliaceae
Description: long non-coding RNA (ACOM_LNC041956)
Source: RNAcentral